UUGGUUCCAAAUCAGUUGUGAGUGAAGGGAGGUAGAACAGAUACCAGACUGGUAUCCAGAUUGAUAGCUGGUGACUCUGGAUAUAUGCAGGUGGGUUGUACAGAAAUGAUGGAUUUCCUAGAGCUCUUCACUCCUGGGGACUAGGAGUCUGAGGGGCCCAUAGUUGGCACAUCUUAGAAAGCAGCCUUCUCUAGACUGAGAAUAGCUGUGAGUUUGGGUUGGUGGAUCUGAGUAGCUCUGUUAUCUCU
RNAcentral lists this long non-coding RNA (248 nucleotides) under Homo sapiens (human). Its description in RNAcentral is "non-protein coding lnc-HIST2H3PS2-8:1". Lineage: Eukaryota; Metazoa; Chordata; Mammalia; Primates; Hominidae. The record is from RNAcentral.